RNAcentral lists this long non-coding RNA (1461 nucleotides) under Equus caballus (horse). RNAcentral describes it as "lncRNA (ENSECAG00000052869.1)". The record is from RNAcentral. Lineage: Eukaryota; Metazoa; Chordata; Mammalia; Perissodactyla; Equidae.
UUGAAAACCCUUCCAAUGUCGGGCAAUGUCCCACCUCCCCAUGCAGAAGCCAGAAAUGCUCCCUCAGAGCCUCCCACACAGCGGGGAGGAGGCACGUGAGGAGGGAUCUGACAACACACACACUGCCGAGGGCCAUUGAGGCGUGCGUGUGAGCUGCAAAGGAGCGGCUGUCGCUUGACUUCACUCUGGGGUGGCAGCCAAGAGGCAGCCAGUGUCUGGGGUGCCGUGGGCAUUGUGUGGCCACCCCCAUUGCACUGGAGCCUCUGGCCCCCCUGGAGAUGUUACCAACUCCCUGACAUCCUCUGAACCCUUCUUCAACCUCAUUCUCUUCAGCUAGUUAGAGUGGACUCUGUUGGUUAUGCCCAGCUGGGAUAAGCCCCUGACUUGGAUGACUAACGAAGACUGGGCCAAGAAUAAAGUCACAGAGGACUCCUUCCAUCUUCUCCCUCCGGCUGUGGCCUUGUUCCUGGUACCUUGCCCUCUUUGCAAGCCGUGUCUCACAGCCAGAUGAAGAAGGAAAAUGGACUGGGGAGGGAGCAGCUGACUUCUUUAGAAUCAAUCAGCAAAAAUCCAAUGAUACAUCCAACUGUAAACUCCCAACGAAAUCUAGAAAUCAACUACCUGAAGAUACUGGAGAAUGAAAAAAAGCAGGCAGAUACUGGAGGGAAGUUGACACUUGGAAGAAAAGGACAUCACAGAGAAAUCCAAAAUAUAACAAGAUGUAGAGGAAAAAAUUGUAAAUUACCUCCUUAUCCCGAACUUCUAAUCCUACAGCAGUCCUGAGAGGAAGUUCCAGUUUUCAGUUGAAAGCAAAUCUUUCUUCACAUUUUUCUUCGUCUUUGCAUACGUAUGAACACGAACAGGAUGUAGAUACGUAAUCUAGUUCUGCAAUUUAAAAAGUGGAGCCUGAUUCUCCUCCCCUGGAACAGGCGUUGGCCUUAGUGUCUCACCUCUAACAAGCAGAAAGAAGGGACGGUGUGUGAUGUCCAGCUUGCACUUGGCUCUUUUUCUGUUGGGAUGCUUUCCCUUGGCACCCAGCCAUGUUGUGAGGAAGCCCAGGCCACGCGUAGAGGCCCAGCCUCAGUCCACAUGGAGAGGCCCACAUGGAGAAGAAACGAGUCAAAGCCCCCAGUCAACAGCCAGCACCAGCUGCCAGACGUGUGAGGGACCCAGCUCUUGAGCCCUCCAACUGAGGCCCCAACACCGGGAGCAAAGACUGGCCAUCUCCACUGUAUCCUGUCCCAACUCCUGCUCCAUAGACUCCACAAAGAGUUGUUUUACACCACUAAGUCUUGGGGUGAUUUAUUACGCAGUCAUAGUAACUAGUCUAUUUAUUGAUAAAGAUAGUUUUAUAGUGUUCCUCCACGCCUUCCAACUGGGAUGGAAAAGGGGAGACAACUUUGCUCAGAAAUUUUAUUAUGUUUUUCUAGUAACUCAUUCUUCCACUUUCCUCAAUGAAAU